UUCCGUGGAUUGGAUCAAGAGUUGAAGCAAUUGGAGGCCCAGGAGGAUGUAUUUUGGAGGCAGCGGGCGAAACAACACUGGCUGCGGGGUGCAGAUGCUAA
Long non-coding RNA from Ipomoea nil (Japanese morning glory), 101 nucleotides. RefSeq lists it as uncharacterized. NCBI's taxonomy places the organism in Eukaryota, Viridiplantae, Streptophyta, Magnoliopsida, Solanales, Convolvulaceae. The record is from RefSeq and is a predicted model, not a curated record. The transcript has 4 exons.